CUGUCCUCUCCCCCUGUAUCUCUCCAGACAGGUGUUAGGACUAGUAGAGUCUGUAUGUUAUCUAACUGUCCUCUCCCCUGUAUCUCUCCAGACAGGUGUUAGGACUAGUGUAGUCUGUAUGUUAUCUAACUGUCCUCUCCCCUGUAUCUCUCCAGACAGGUGUUAGGACUAGUAGAGUCUGUAUGUUAUCUAACUGUCCUCUCCCCCUGUAUCUCUCCAGACAGGUGUUAGGACUAGUAGAGUCUGUAUGUUAUCUAACUGUCCUCUCCCCUGUAUCUCUCCAGACAGGUGUUAGGACUAGUGUAGUCUGUAUGUUAUCUAACUGUCCUCUCCCCCUGUAUCUCUCCAGACAGGUGUUAGGACUAGUAGAGUCUGUAUGUUAUCUAACUGUCCUCUCCCCCUGUAUCUCUCCAGACAGGUGUUAGGACUAGUGUAGUCUGUAUGUUAUCUAACUGUCCUCUCCCCUGUAUCUCUCCAGACAGGUGUUAGGACUAGUGUAGUCUGUAUGUUAUCUAACUGUCCUCUCCCCUGUAUCUCUCCAGACAGGUGUUAGGACUAGUGUAGUCUGUAUGUUAUCUAACUGUCCUCUCCCCCUGUAUCUCUCCAGACAGGUGUUAGGACUAGUAGAGUCUGUAUGUUAUCUAACUGUCCUCUCCCCCUGUAUCUCUCCAGACAGGUGUUAGGACUAGUGUAGUCUGUAUGUUAUCUAACUGUCCUCUCCCCUGUAUCUCUCC
Long non-coding RNA from Oncorhynchus keta (chum salmon), 734 nucleotides. RefSeq lists it as uncharacterized. NCBI's taxonomy places the organism in Eukaryota, Metazoa, Chordata, Actinopteri, Salmoniformes, Salmonidae. The transcript is spliced from 3 exons. The record is from RefSeq and is a predicted model, not a curated record.